RNAcentral lists this ribosomal RNA (469 nucleotides) under uncultured bacterium. RNAcentral's name for it is "partial 16S ribosomal RNA". It matches the Rfam family "Bacterial small subunit ribosomal RNA", at positions 28 to 507 of the family's 1533-position model. The record is from RNAcentral.
AACGAACGUUGGCGGCGUGGAUUAGGCAUGCAAGUCGAACGCGAAUCCCUGGGCAACUGGGGAGGAGAGUGGCGAAAGGGGCAGUAAGGCGUGGGUAACCUACCCUCCGGGCCGGGAUAGCUUCGGGAAACUGAAGGUAAUACCGGGCGACGCAGCGAGAUCGCAUGGUCUUGCUGCCAAAGGUCCGCCGCCGGGGGAGGGGCUCACGUGGUAUUAGCUAGACGGCGGGGUAACGGCCCACCGUGGCAAAGAUGCCUAGCAGGUGUGAGAGCACGACCUGCGCCACUGGCACUGAGACACUGGCCAGAGACCUACGGGUGGCUGCAGUCGAGGAUCUUCGGCAAUGGGCGCAAGCCUGACCGAGCGACGCCGCGUGUGCGAUGAAGGCCUUCGGGUUGUAAAGCACUGUCGAGGGGGAGGAAGCCGCAAGGUUGACCUAUCCCUGGAGGAAGCACGGGCUAAGUUCGUG